RNAcentral lists this ribosomal RNA (253 nucleotides) under uncultured bacterium. RNAcentral describes it as "partial 16S ribosomal RNA". It matches the Rfam family "Bacterial small subunit ribosomal RNA", at positions 524 to 776 of the family's 1533-position model. The record is from RNAcentral.
UACGGAGGGUGCAAGCGUUAUCCGGAUUCACUGGGUUUAAAGGGAGCGCAGGCGGAUUGGUAAGUCAGUGGUGAAAGGCUUAAGCUUAACUUGGGAACUGCCAUUGAUACUAUCAGUCUUGAAUGUUGUUGAGGUUUGCGGAAUGGGUCAUGUAGCGGUGAAAUGCAUAGAUAUGACCCGGAACACCUAUUGCGAAGGCAGCAGGCUAAACAAAUAUUGACGCUGAGGCUCGAAAGCGUGGGGAUCGAACAGG